Molecule: ribosomal RNA, 253 nt
Filed under: uncultured bacterium
Lineage: Bacteria
Description: partial 16S ribosomal RNA
Rfam family: Bacterial small subunit ribosomal RNA
Source: RNAcentral
UACGUAGGGUGCGAGCGUUGUCCGGAAUUACUGGGCGUAAAGAGCUCGUAGGUGGUUUGUCGCGUUGUUCGUGAAAACUCACAGCUCAACUGUGGGCGUGCGGGCGAUACGGGCAGACUGGAAUACUGCAGGGGAGACUGGAAUUCCUGGUGUAGCGGUGGAAUGCGCAGAUAUCAGGAGGAACACCGGUGGCGAAGGCGGGUCUCUGGGCAGUAACUGACGCUGAGGAGCGAAAGCGUGGGGAGCGAACAGG